AUGAAUGCUGGCGGCGCGCCUAACACAUGCAAGUCGAGCGGUAACAUGCUUCUCACCUUGGUUCGAAAUUUAUUUUGGAGCUGAAGUGAGAAGUGAUGACGAGCGGCGGACGGCUGAGUAACGCGUGGGAACGUACCCCAAAGUGAGGAAUAACUGCCCGAAAGGGUGGCUAAUGCCGCAUGUGAUCUUCGGAUUAAAGGAUUUAUCCGCUUUGGGAACGGCCUGCGUAUGAUUAGAUAGUUGGUGAGGUAAAGGCUCACCAAGUCUACGAUCAUUAACUGGUCUGAGAGGAUGACCAGUCAGACUGGAACUGAGACACGGUCCAGACUCCUACGGGAGGCAGCAGUGAGGAAUCUUCCACAAUGGGCGAAAGCCUGAUGGAGCGACGCCGCGUGCAGGAUGAAGGCCUUCGGGUUGUAAACUGCUUUUAAAAGUGAAGAAUAUGACGGUAGCUUUUGAAUAAGCACCGGCUAACUACGU
Molecule: ribosomal RNA, 480 nt
Filed under: uncultured bacterium
Lineage: Bacteria
Description: bacterial SSU rRNA
Rfam family: Bacterial small subunit ribosomal RNA
Source: RNAcentral